Molecule: ribosomal RNA, 516 nt
Filed under: uncultured bacterium
Lineage: Bacteria
Description: partial 16S ribosomal RNA
Rfam family: Bacterial small subunit ribosomal RNA
Source: RNAcentral
GAUGAACGCUGGCGGCGUGCCUAAUACAUGCAAGUCGAGCGAAUGGAUUAAGAGCUUGCUCUUAUGAAGUUAGCGGCGGACGGGUGAGUAACACGUGGGUAACCUGCCCAUAAGACUGGGAUAACUCCGGGAAACCGGGGCUAAUACCGGAUAACAUUUUGAACCGCAUGGUUCGAAAUUGAAAGGCGGCUUCGGCUGUCACUUAUGGAUGGACCCGCGUCGCAUUAGCUAGUUGGUGAGGUAACGGCUCACCAAGGCAACGAUGCGUAGCCGACCUGAGAGGGUGAUCGGCCACACUGGGACUGAGACACGGUCCAGACUCCUACGGGAGGCAGCAGUAGGGAAUCUUCCGCAAUGGACGAAAGUCUGACGGAGCAACGCCGCGUGAGUGAUGAAGGCUUUCGGGUCGUAAAACUCUGUUGUUAGGGAAGAACAAGUGCUAGUUGAAUAAGCUGGCACCUUGACGGUACCUAACCAGAAAGCCACGGCUAACUACGUGCCAGCCGCCGCCCGUAA